UGGGGAAUAUUGGACAAUGGGCGAAAGCCUGAUCCAGCCAUGCCGCGUGUGUGAAGAAGGUCUUCGGAUUGUAAAGCACUUUAAGUUGGGAGGAAGGGCAGUAAGCGAAUACCUUGCUGUUUUGACGUUACCGACAGAAUAAGCACCGGCUAACUCUGUGCCAGCAGCCGCGGUAAUACAGAGGGUGCAAGCGUUAAUCGGAAUUACUGGGCGUAAAGCGCGCGUAGGUGGUUCGUUAAGUUGAAUGUGAAAGCCCCGGGCUCAACCUGGGAACUGCAUCCAAAACUGGCGAGCUUGAGUAGGGCAGAGGGUGGUGGAAUUUCCUGUGUAGCAGUUAAAUGCGUAGAUAUAGGAAGGAACACCAGUGGCGAAGGCGACCACCUGGGCUCAUACUGACACUGAGGUGCGAAAGCGUGGGGAGCAAACAGG
This 429-nucleotide ribosomal RNA is filed under the name Pseudomonadota bacterium. RNAcentral describes it as "Proteobacteria bacterium partial 16S ribosomal RNA". It matches the Rfam family "Bacterial small subunit ribosomal RNA", at positions 355 to 776 of the family's 1533-position model. The record is from RNAcentral. Lineage: Bacteria; Pseudomonadati; Pseudomonadota.